This 1377-nucleotide ribosomal RNA is filed under the name uncultured bacterium. Its description in RNAcentral is "bacterial SSU rRNA". It matches the Rfam family "Bacterial small subunit ribosomal RNA", at positions 29 to 1395 of the family's 1533-position model. The record is from RNAcentral.
UUGAACGCUGGCGGUAUGCUUAACACAUGCAAGUCGAACGGAAACGAUACUAGCUUGCUAGUAGGCGUCGAGUGGCGGACGGGUGAGUAACGCGUAGGAAUCUGCCUGAUAGUGGGGGAUAGCCCGAAGAAAUUCGGAUUAAUACCGCAUAAUCUAUUCGUAGUAAAGUGGGGGACUUUCGAGCCUCACGCUAUCAGAUGAGCCUGCGUAAGAUUAGCUUGUUGGUAGGGUAAAAGCCUACCAAGGCGACGAUCUUUAGCUGGUCUGAGAGGAUGAUCAGCCACAUCGGGACUGAGACACGGCCCGAACUCCUACGGGAGGCAGCAGUGGGGAAUAUUGGACAAUGGGGGCAACCCUGAUCCAGCAAUGCCGCGUGUGUGAAGAAGGCCUGAGGGUUGUAAAGCACUUUCAAUUGUGAAGAAAAGUUAGCGGUUAAUAACCGUUAGCCUUGACGUUAACUUUAGAAGAAGCACCGGCUAACUCCGUGCCAGCAGCCGCGGUAAUACGGAGGGUGCAAGCGUUAAUCGGAAUUACUGGGCGUAAAGCGUGCGUAGGCGGUUUAUUAAGUCAGAUGUGAAAGCCCCGGGCUUAACCUGGGGAACUGCAUUUGAAACUGGUCAACUAGAGUAUGGUAGAGGAAAGUGGAAUUUCUGGUGUAGCGGUGAAAUGCGUAGAUAUCAGAAGGAACAUCAAUGGCGAAAGGCAGCUUUCUGGACCAAUACUGACGCUGAGGUACGAAAGCGUGGGUAGCAAACAGGAUUAGAUACCCUGGUAGUCCACGCCGUAAACGAUGAUAACUAGCCGUUGGGGGGAUUUACCCUUUAGUGGCGAAGCUAACGCGUUAAGUUAUCCGCCUGGGGAGUACGGCCGCAAGGUUAAAACUCAAAGGAAUCGACGGGGACCCGCACAAGCGGUGGAGCAUGUGGUUUAAUUCGAUGCAACGCGAAGAACCUUACCUGGUCUUGACAUCCUGCGAACUUUCUAGAAAUAGAUUGGUGCCUUCGGGAACGCAGUGACAGGUGCUGCAUGGCUGUCGUCAGCUCGUGUCGUGAGAUGUUGGGUUAAGUCCCGUAACGAGCGCAACCCCUAUCCUUAUUUGCCAGCACAUCAUGGUGGGAACUAUAAGGAGACUGCCGGUGAUAAACCGGAGGAAGGCGGGGACGACGUCAAGUCAUCAUGGCCCUUACGACCAGGGCUACACACGUGCUACAAUGGGAAGGACAAAGAGCCGCGAAGCCGCGAGGUGUAGCUAAUCUCAUAAACCUUUUCGUAGUCCGGAUUGGAGUCUGCAACUCGACUCCAUGAAGUCGGAAUCGCUAGUAAUCGUAGAUCAGAAUGCUACGGUGAAUACGUUCCCGGGUCUUGCACACACCGCCC